Molecule: ribosomal RNA, 253 nt
Filed under: uncultured bacterium
Lineage: Bacteria
Description: partial 16S ribosomal RNA
Rfam family: Bacterial small subunit ribosomal RNA
Source: RNAcentral
UACAGAGGGGGCAAGCGUUGUUCGGAAUUACUGGGCGUAAAGGGCGCGUAGGCGGCCGCCUAAGUCAGACGUGAAAUCCCCCGGCUUAACCUGGGAACUGCGUCUGAUACUGGACGGCUUGAGUAUGGGAGAGGAACGUAGAAUUCCAGGUGUAGCGGUGAAAUGCGUAGAUAUCUGGAGGAAUACCGGUGGCGAAGGCGGCGUUCUGGACCAUUACUGACACUGAAUCGCGAAAGCUAGGGGAGCAAACGGG